CACGUAGGGUGCAAGCGUUGUCCGGAUUUAUUGGGCGUAAAGGGCUCGUAGGCGGUUCGACAAGUCGGGUGUGAAACCUCCAGGCUCAACCUGGAGUCGCCACUCGAAACUGUUGUGACUAGAGUCCGGUAGGGGAGCAUGGAAUUCCUGGUGUAGCGGUGGAAUGCGCAGAUAUCAGGAGGAACACCAGUGGCGAAGGCGAUGCUCUGGGCCGGUACUGACGCUGAGACGCGAAAGCGUGGGGAGCGAACAGG
RNAcentral lists this ribosomal RNA (254 nucleotides) under uncultured bacterium. RNAcentral's name for it is "partial 16S ribosomal RNA". It matches the Rfam family "Bacterial small subunit ribosomal RNA", at positions 524 to 776 of the family's 1533-position model. The record is from RNAcentral.